AUCUUAGAACUUGGUCCAUCCAAAUGGAUGUGAACUAGGAUUCUAGACUAAAUAUUACAAGUUUUCUAUAUGUUACCUUAAUUGGUUGCAUAUAGUAGCUAGUAAGUUUACCUUGAAAAAAUUAGAGUGCUCAAUGCGGGCUUAAUGCCUGAAUACUCGUGCAUGGAAUAAUAAAAUAGGAUCUUGGUUCUAUUUUGUUGGUUUUCUGAUCUAAGAUAAUGGUUAAGAGGGACGGACGGGGGCAUUCGUAUCGCUACGUGAGAGGUGAAAUUCUUGGACCGUAGCGAGACGUACAACUGCGAAAGCAUUUGCCAAGAAUGUCUUCAUUAAUCAAGAACGAAAGUCAGAGGUUCGAAGGCGAUCAGAUACCGCCCUAGUUCUGACCGUAAACGAUACCAACUAGCGUUCCGUCGGCGGUAAAUACGCCUUGA
This 431-nucleotide ribosomal RNA is filed under the name Dirofilaria immitis (dog heartworm nematode). RNAcentral describes it as "SSU rRNA". It matches the Rfam family "Eukaryotic small subunit ribosomal RNA", at positions 645 to 1079 of the family's 1831-position model. Lineage: Eukaryota; Metazoa; Nematoda; Chromadorea; Rhabditida; Onchocercidae. The record is from RNAcentral.